Molecule: unclassified non-coding RNA, 312 nt
Filed under: fungal sp.
Lineage: Eukaryota; Fungi
Description: partial internal transcribed spacer region
Rfam family: Eukaryotic small subunit ribosomal RNA (bases 1-45)
Source: RNAcentral
AGUCGUAACAAGGUAUCCGUAGGUGAACCUGCGGAUGGAUCAUUUCCACUAUUAAAACAAAAAAAGAGAAGGGAGAUUUUGUCAAUGUGCGAAUAUAAGUUUGCACUAGAUAAUUUCAAACUCUCUUUUUUUAUUACAUCAACAAACCUUUUAACGUGAAUUGUUAUUGUACAAAACAUUUUUAUAAACGUAAGUUUUAAGUUUUGAUAACAUUCAAAAUAAGAAGCAAACGUUAAACAAAUUAGAAUUGGUUUUUAUUUUAAAACAAAAAGUAACCAAAAACAACUCUUAACAACGGAUGUCUUGGUUCUC